GUUCUCAAGUGUGCAGCCGUAAGUAUUGCUUUUUCGUAAAUUACGCAAAUGAAGGCGGAGACUCUUCAAUUAUAAACAGUACUGCCGAGGUGCAAACCCGUCCUGCCGCGGAAGUGGAGAGCUCGGAUCAUCAAUGGGGAUCACAGUCAGUAUUCAUAUUUAAAACAAAUCAGUGAUUCAAAAUGACAGCAGUUGAGAAAGCAAAUUUAGAGCAAUGGGAAGUGUAUAUUACCAGCAUUCUGCGACCGAGUUACAUCCAAGGAUUUCUCAAAAACUAUCUCUCUCCAGCAUCCAGGAAGAAGGUACAGGAGCCUCAGGAUCCACACCACCAGUUGAGAUUGAAGAAAUCUUAUCCCUGGAAGAAACAUCUUUCACAUCUUCGGCAGAAAAAUUUUUAAAAUGCUUGAUUAAGCUAGAAGAAAGGGGAUGGUAUCAAGCAUUUUUAGAUGAAUUGAGAGCUGUGGGUUACACGGGUCUGCAGGAUGCCAUUGAGAAAGCCGAUUUUUCUGAAAUUGAAAAGUUGCGGGAGAAUAAAGAGCUUCUGAAUCGUGUUUCUCAAACAAUUGUUUCUAACAUAAAACCAAAUGAUGUUAUUUUACACAUGCAGUGUCUACUGCCCAGAGAAGAGGAAGAAAUUAAAAAGGUCUGUGAACGCAGGGGUGACACUGCAGGAGCAGAGAAGUUACUUGAUUGUUUGAGAAGGUCAGAUAAGCAGCAGUUUUUCAAGGAGUUCCGCUUAGCCAUGGAAAGAUGCAACUAUGAUACAGUGCUACCCCUUGUAUCUCCAGAUUCUGAUGAGGCAUCUAACAGCUCUUUAACCAUGGAGCCUCUCAUCCAGGAGUCUGUUAUCCAGUAUUCUGAAGAGCCAGAAUAUAUGGACACUUGUAGUGCACUGGACAACGGUACAGAAAACUGUAGCCAACAAAAUUCAGGUGCCACUAAACAUUUAAAAUUGAGAGCUUAUCAAGAGGAGCUGGCAGAAUCUGCAGUAGCAGGAGACAACACCAUCAUCUGUGCUCCUACAGGGUCUGGGAAAACUAUUGUUGCCCUGCACAUUGCUGAACAGCAUCUCAGGGAGAGCUUUGAAGGGGAGAAGCGUAAAGUUGCCUUCAUGGCUACAACGGUUCCUGUCUUUCAGCAGCAGUUGGAAUUAUUUAAGAAUCACUUCAAGAACACCAGCUUCGGAGUGUUUGGAGUAUGUGGAGAUCAGGCGAACAAUUCUCCGGUGAAGAAGUUCGUUGAGAUGAAUGACAUCAUAAUCCUGACACCGCAGAUUCUUCUAAAUUGUCUCAAAGCUGAACAGAUUUCAUCGCUUACCAUCUUCACCCUGCUAAUAUUUGAUGAGUGCCACAAUACAGUCAAAAAGCACCCAUACAAUGUUUUAAUGAUGACGUACUUGGAUAUCAAGAUGGGCGCGAGACAAAGUCCAUUACCUCAGAUCGUUGGAUUGACAGCGUCCGUUGGGGUCGGUGAUGCCAGGUCGGUCAAUGAAGCAGAAGGUUAUAUUUUGCGCAUUUGUGCCAGUCUUGAUGCUGAAAGCAUAUCAACCGUGAACAAGAAUAUGGAAGAUCUGGAGAAAUACGUUUUUAUUUCAAAGAAAGAAACGAGAGAAGCUCCCAAGCGUACGAAGGAUCUGUUUGCAGACAUUAUCGGUCAAAUGAUGGUUCAAGUUGAACAAAUGGCCAAGAAUGUUUAUGACAUUGAUAAACUGUCACACAUCCAGAAUCAAGACCAUGGCUCUCAAAGAUAUGAACAGUGGAUCAUCGAAGUUCAGAAAAGGUGCAAAGUGCUUCAGAUGGAGGACGUAGAAAGGGAGCGAAAGGUCUGCCGGGCUCUCUUCACUUACACUGAGCAUCUGCGGAAGUACAAUGAUGCUCUGAUUAUCAAUGACGAUGCACGCACCAAGGAUGCAGUAAACUACCUGGAUCGUUUCUUCACUAACGUGAAAGAGGGUGGAUAUGAUGAGACAGAGCAGACACUUACUGCAAUAUUUGAAGCAAAGAAACUGCAGCUGAAGAGAAUUGAAGCUGACCCAGCUAAUGAAAACCCCAAGCUGGGUGAAGUGAGGAGGAUUCUGUGUCAGGAGUAUCAGAGAAACCCGAAAUCCAAAACCAUCAUGUUUGUCAGAACUAGAGCUCUCGCUGAGGCAUUCAUAAAUUGGUUAAAAGAAACUACGGCACUGUCAUUCUUACAACCUGAAAUGUUGUUGGGACGAUCAAAGAGCACAGGAAUGACUCUCCCCUCACAAAAAGGAGUGCUGACUUCCUUUAGAAAUGAAUUUGCAGGAUGCAACAUCCUUGUGGCAACAUCUGUCGCUGAUGAAGGAAUCGACAUUGCACAGUGCAACCUUGUGUUGCUGUACGAAUAUGUUGGAAAUGUUAUAAAAAUGAUCCAAACAAGAGGCCGUGGAAGAGCACAAGACAGCAAGUGCAUUCUUAUUACCAGCAAGAAAGAACAAGUAGAAAAAGAAGUGAGCAAUGCGGUACAAGAGGAAAUGAUGUACGAAGCUAUAAAGAAAUUACAACAAUGGGACAAGAAAAUAUUUAACAAAAAGUUGUAUCGAUAUGUUGGGACCAGGUUAGGUCCUCAGAGAUCUUGACACCCAGGAACAUGAAACUGCUCGCUCUCUUCACUUCUGAUCCCUCUAUGAGGACUGUUUCUUGCAGUCGUGGACGGAGUAGUUGCCUCACCAGGCUAUGAGGCACCUGGAUAGGAUGCUUUCUAUGAGGAAGAAGGGAAGAUGCCAAGUUUCUUCAGCCUCCUGAGGAAGGGAGGCACUGAUGAUCUUUCUGCCCUGGCUGGACCAGGACGGGCUACUGGUGAUGUUCGGUCCUAGGAACUGGAAGAGUUUAAGCUUCUCAACUUAAGUAUUAUGGAUGGAAUUAAAAACAGAAAUAUGCUGAAUUAAAUGAGGAAAUUGAAAGACUAUGGAACAUUGUCCCAAUACUAAUAUCUACAACUGGUAUCAUCCCAAAGUCACUACAUGGUAGAAUUAAACAGACAGGCCCACACAGCAUAAUUAUGCAAACCUUCAGAAAGCCACAAUAGUAAACACCACUAGAAUACUUCAGAAGUUCCAAGCUAUUGAAAAAUGAGUUUUAUCAGUUCGAGCAGAGAAAAAUCAAAAAUAUAAUAUUAAUAAAUAAAUAAACAAUAAAUAUUGAAAACAUGAAGAGUCCUUCAAAGUGACUCCAUAGGUUGUGGGAACAGUUCAGUGAUGGGAUGAGUGAGGUCAUCCCUUCUUGUUGAAGACACUACUGGUUGAGGGGUAAUAACUGUUCCUGAACCUGCUGGUGUGGGUCCUGGGGCUCUUGUACCUUCAUCCUAUUGGCAGCAGUGAGAUGAGAGUAUGACCUGGAUGGUGGGGGUCCUUGAUGAAGAAUGGUGUUUUCCUCCAUGUAGAUGUGCUCAAUGGUAGGGAAGGCUUUACCAAUGAUGGACUGGCUGUAUCCACUACCUUUCGUAGACAUUUUCGUUCAAAGGCAUUAGUGUUUCUGUAUCAAACCACGAUGCAGCCAAUUGGUAUACUCUGCACCACACAUCUACAGAAGUUUGUCAAAAUUUUAGAUGAUAUGCCAAAUCUGUGCAAACAUAGAAGUAAGUAGAGGUGCUGCUGUGGAGUAAUGGCAUAAAUCAGAAGUGACUCAAAAUAUUUAAAGGUUUGAAUUUGGAAUUUAUCAAUGAUAUAAUUCUAAAGUGUUCAAUUCUCUCC
This is an RNA transcript of Hypanus sabinus (Atlantic stingray), 3712 nucleotides long. It is a transcript of the gene named RNA sensor RIG-I, with no coding region annotated. NCBI's taxonomy places the organism in Eukaryota, Metazoa, Chordata, Chondrichthyes, Myliobatiformes, Dasyatidae. The record is from RefSeq and is a predicted model, not a curated record. The transcript has 19 exons.